UACAGAGGUGCCAAGCGUUAGGCGGAAUCACUGGGCUUAAAGCGCGUGUAGGUGGAUGGGUAAGUACCUUGUGAAAUCCCACGGCUCAACCGUGGAACUGCUGGGUAUACUGCUUGUCUUGAGGCACUCAGGGGCAGCUGGAACAAAUGGUGGAGCGGUGAAAUGCGUAGAUAUCAUUUGGAACGCCAAAGGCGAAAGCAGGCUGCUGGGAGUGAUCUGACACUGAGACGCGAAAGCCAGGGUAGCAAACGGG
Molecule: ribosomal RNA, 253 nt
Filed under: uncultured bacterium
Lineage: Bacteria
Description: partial 16S ribosomal RNA
Rfam family: Bacterial small subunit ribosomal RNA
Source: RNAcentral